GACGAACGCUGGCGGCGUGCUUAACACAUGCAAGUCGAACGGAGUGGCGAACGGGUGAGUCACACGUGGAUGACCUGCCCUGCACUUCGGGAUAAGCCUGGGGAACUGGGUCUAAUACCGGAUAGUGUGGGAUGGGCUCGCGGCCUAUCAGCUUGUGGGUGGGGUAAUGGUCUACCAAGGCGGCGACGGGUAGCCGGCCUGAGAGGGUGGACGGCCACAUUGGGACUGAGGCACGGCCCAGACGCGUACGGGAGGCAGCAGUGGGGAAUAUUGCACAAUGGGCGGAAGCCUGAUGCAGCGACGCCGGGUGGGGGAUGACUGCUUUCGGGUUGUAAACUCCUUUCACCAUCGACGCGGUAGAUGGAGAAGAAGCACCGGCUAACUACGUGCCAGCAGCCGCGGUAAUUC
Molecule: ribosomal RNA, 408 nt
Filed under: uncultured bacterium
Lineage: Bacteria
Description: partial 16S ribosomal RNA
Rfam family: Bacterial small subunit ribosomal RNA
Source: RNAcentral